This 1691-nucleotide ribosomal RNA is filed under the name Rhinodoras boehlkei. Its description in RNAcentral is "partial 16S ribosomal RNA". The stretch from base 108 to 1569 matches the Rfam family "Bacterial large subunit ribosomal RNA". Lineage: Eukaryota; Metazoa; Chordata; Actinopteri; Siluriformes; Doradidae. The record is from RNAcentral.
GCUAAACAGCUAGCUUAAACACCUAAAUAACCAACACAACAUUAAAACAUUUCACAAGACUACAACAUCUUAAACUAAAACAUUCUACCGCCCAAGUACGUGAGACAGAAAAGGCGCCUUAUUAAAGCUUUAGCAAAAGUACCGCAAGGGAAUGCUGAAAGAGAAAUGAAACAAAUCAUUAAAGCACAACAAAGCAGAGAUUAAAUCUCGUACCUUUUGCAUCAUGAUUUAGCUAACCAAUAUGAGCAAAGCGUACUUUAGUUCAAGCCCCCGAAACUAAGUGAGCUACCCCGAGACAGCCUAUCAAUUAGGGCCAACCCGUCUCUGUGGCAAAAGAGUGGGAAGAUCUCCGGGUAGAGGUGACAAACCUACCGAACUUAGUUAUAGCUGGUUGCCUAGGAAAUGAAUAGAAGUUCAGCCCCGCACUCCUCAACUCACUACAAACAUAUACAACACGAGUCAGAGAAAUACGCGGGAGUUAGUCAUAGGGGGUACAGCCCCUAUGAAUUAGGAUACAACCUCUACAGGAGGUUAUAGAUUAUAUUAACCAAGAUAUGCCGCUCUAGUGGGCCUAAAAGCAGCCAUCUAAACAGAAAGCGUUAAAGCUCCGGCAGAUUAAAAAUCUAUUAUCCAAAUAUUAUAUCUAAAACCCCUAACCAUACUAGGCUAUCCCAUGCCCACAUGGAAGAAAUACUGCUAAAAUGAGUAAUAAGAAGUAAAACAUACUUCUCCUGGCCUACGUGUAUGCUAGAUCGGACCUUCCACUAGCAAUUACCGAACCCAACAAAAGAGGGGAUUAUGGACAUAUUAAACAACAAGAAAUCACCAUAUAACCAAAUCGUUAACCCCACACUGGAAGGCCUUUAAAGGAAAGACUAAAAGAAAAGGAAGGAACUCGGCAAACAUAAGCCUCGCCUGUUUACCAAAAACAUCGCCUCCUGCAAAACACAAUGUAUAGGAGGUCUUGCCUGCCCAGUGACAAGUUAAACGGCCGCGGUAUUUUGACCGUGCGAAGGUAGCGCAAUCACUUGUCUUUUAAAUGAAGACCCGUAUGAAUGGCGGAACGAGGGCUUAACUGUCUCCCUUUUCAAGUCAAUGAAAUUGAUCUGCCCGUGCAGAAGCGGACAUAUAAAUACAAGACGAGAAGACCCUUUGGAGCUUAAGAUACAAGAUCAUCUACGUCAAGGGGCCUUAAAUUUAAGCCAAACUAAGUAACAUCUGAUCUAUAUCUUCGGUUGGGGCGACCACGGGAGAAAACAAAGCUCCCAUGCGGACCGGGGGUUAUAACCCCUAAACCCAAGAAAGACAUUUCUAAGUCACAGAACAUCUGACCACAAAGAUCCGGCUUACCGGCCGAUCAACGGACCAAGUUACCCUAGGGAUAACAGCGCAAUCCCCUUUCAGAGUCCAUAUCGACAAGGGGGUUUACGACCUCGAUGUUGGAUCAGGACAUCCUAAUGGUGCAGCCGCUAUUAAGGGUUCGUUUGUUCAACGAUUAAAGUCCUACGUGAUCUGAGUUCAGACCGGAGCAAUCCAGGUCAGUUUCUAUCUGUAAUGCUGCUUCUUCCUAGUACGAAAGGACCGGAAAAAGAGGGCCCAUAUUAUCAAUACGCCCCACCCCCAUUUAAUGAAAACAACUAAAUUAAAUAAAGGGAGAGCACAACCCAAAAAUCAAGAUAAGAUUAUUAAGA